This 1125-nucleotide long non-coding RNA is filed under the name Homo sapiens (human). RNAcentral describes it as "HSALNT0293505". Lineage: Eukaryota; Metazoa; Chordata; Mammalia; Primates; Hominidae. The record is from RNAcentral.
CGCCGUAAAGCUACGCUUUUGCGCCUCGCCCCUUCACGACUUGUAGAGCUCUUUACGGCUCUGCGGAGGCCCUGCCGGAUUCUCUGGGCGAACAAGCUUCUAAAAUUCUACUGCUACGCACAGCCAAGAUGACAGCUCAGAUUCCCCAUCAGUUGCUCUUCUCCAAAGAGACACUGUUUUAAGCAUUUCUCCAUUUUCGAAUCCACUCAACAACCAAAUGAGACACCAAUUUGGAUGUCCAACAAUUCAAGUCAAUUCUGACACUGCCUGAAAUUGCAUCACAUUCCACAGAUAAAUGGGUUCAGUACCCACUUCAGAUGCCAAUUGCAAGUCCCAGGCCAUCGGUAAUUCUGACCAACCAACUACAAAUGCAAUUACCUGGCCAACAGCCUGAAUUCGGAACUAAUUCAGAGACUUUACAGAAAGCAUACAGAACUGCUGUCAAUGUAAUACUUUCGUUCAGUUUUGAGAUGAGGAAGUUUUUGUACUUCAAUCACUGGAAGUUGAUUAGGUUCCUGGGUGUGAAAAAGAAAUGUUGCCUUAUGCCAGCUGCCAUCUUGAAUCUGUAAAAUAAGAACAAAAUGCUUUCAUACGCAUUUCAUUAGCAGUCACUUUCAGUAGACAAUGCCUUUCACAGAUAAUGUGAACUUGUUUUAAGGAUUAGAGAUAACGAAUAGAAAGUGCCUAGAACAAUGCUCAAUAAAUGGUAAAAUUACUAUUAUUAGUUGAAAACCUGGACUUAUUCCUUUCUCUAGAAUGGCACUGUCUGUUCUAAUUUUUCACUUCCAGAGGCUAAGGCCAGGCUUCUGCUUCAACUGUCUGUGAAUUAUUGGACCAGAUAUGAAUUAAAAGGCUGCAAUACUCCUAAUAUGAGUAAUAACCAUCUGUUCUGUAUUCCUUUAUUUGGGACUGAUACCUCAGGAUGGAUAUUUUUCUUUGAUAAAAGGGAACGAGCUAUUUCAACCUCUGUAUUUUAGGUAGAAAAUAAACAGAAUCACCUCAGUCAGAAAUAGUUAAAAUUAUAAUUAUGUGCAAUCAUCUUUUAGGUCUCUUCCCCCCCGCCCCAUUCUGUAGCUCUCUAUUUAUACAGUUUCCCUCUUUCUUCUCUUUUGUGUCUAAUAAACU